ACGCGAAGAACCUUACCUGGGCUCGAAAUUUUGUCGACAGUCUCAGAGAUGAGAUCUUCCCGCAAGGGACGGCAGAAUAGGUGCUGCAUGGCUGUCGUCAGCUCGUGUCGUGAGAUGUUGGGUUAAGUCCCGCAACGAGCGCAACCCUCACCCUUAGUUGCUCGUCCGCAAGGAAAGCACCCUAAGGGAACUGCCUCGGAUAACGGGGAGGAAGGUGGGGAUGACGUCAAGUCCUCAUGGCCUUUAUGUCCAGGGCUACACACGUGCUACAAUGGCCGGUACAAACCGUCGCUAACCCGCGAGGGGGAGCCAAUCGGAAAAAACCGGUCUCAGUUCGGAUUGCAGGCUGCAACUCGCCUGCAUGAAGCUGGAAUCGCUAGUAAUCACGUAUCAGAAUGACGUGGUGAAUACGUUCCCGGGCCUUGUA
This 427-nucleotide ribosomal RNA is filed under the name uncultured Acidobacterium sp. RNAcentral describes it as "bacterial SSU rRNA". It matches the Rfam family "Bacterial small subunit ribosomal RNA", at positions 959 to 1385 of the family's 1533-position model. Lineage: Bacteria; Pseudomonadati; Acidobacteriota; Terriglobia; Terriglobales; Acidobacteriaceae. The record is from RNAcentral.